This 498-nucleotide ribosomal RNA is filed under the name uncultured bacterium. Its description in RNAcentral is "partial 16S ribosomal RNA". It matches the Rfam family "Bacterial small subunit ribosomal RNA", at positions 28 to 507 of the family's 1533-position model. The record is from RNAcentral.
GACGAACGCUGGCGGCGUGCCUAAUACAUGCAAGUCGAACGAGAGCGACCGGUGCUUGCACUGGUCAAUCUAGUGGCGAACGGGUGAGUAACACGUGGGUAACCUGCCCAUCAGAGGGGGAUAACAUCCGGAAACGGAUGCUAAAACCGCAUAGGUCUUCGAGCCGCAUGGCUUGAAGAGGAAAAGAGGCGCAAGCUUCUGCUGAUGGAUGGACCCGCGGUGCAUUAGCUAGUUGGUGAGGUAACGGCUCACCAAGGCCGUGAUGCAUAGCCGACCUGAGAGGGUGAUCGGCCACAUUGGGACUGAGACACGGCCCAAACUCCUACGGGAGGCAGCAGUAGGGAAUCUUACGCAAUGGACGCAAGUCUGACGGAGCAACGCCGCGUGAGUGAAGAAGGUUUUCGGAUCGUAAAACUCUGUUGUUAGAGAAGAACAAGUGCUAGAGUAACUGUUAGCGCCUUGACGGUAGCUAACCAGAAAGCCACGGCUAACUACGUG